Molecule: long non-coding RNA, 1139 nt
Filed under: Capra hircus (goat)
Lineage: Eukaryota; Metazoa; Chordata; Mammalia; Artiodactyla; Bovidae
Description: lncRNA (ENSCHIG00010004603.1)
Source: RNAcentral
CCAUGGUACCCAGCCCCAGCUCUGCAGAGGCUUUUGUUCAAUUAUUGAUGUCUGGGGAAGGAAGCCCGUGGGCUGGCUGGGCUAGGAUGGAAGACAUGAUCCAGGUGAAGCAGGAAAACCAUCAGGAAGGGAGAAGAGGGGGCCUAGUCAGGUCUGUCCAUGUUGAUCAACCUGAAAACAUGUCCAGGAGAGGUGAUUAAAUGAAAAAGCAGCUUACAGAACAGCUCCAAGGGUGAGAUCAUUAAACUAUAGCAUGUGUGUGUGAGAGACAGACAGAAAGAGAUUUCAGAGACUUUCACCCAAAAAGUGAAUGGGGGUUAUUUCUGAGUGUUAGGAUUAUGAAGAAUUUCUAUGUUCUUCAGGCUUUCUGGAUUUCUUUAUUAAUAAGUAAUUACUAUUUUCAGAACCUGAAACACCAGUUCCUGGAGGGGGAGCAGGGAGAGGAAGAAGAUGCAAACAAAGAUCAGAAAGGGAUGUCCAAGGCUGGUGUUCAUGUGAGCAGAGGAGAGAAUUCCAGAUUGAGGAACAAACAAAGACACCAGGCUCAGAGGACAAUACUCAACACAUGCGCCAUCUCAAGUCCUUUUUGGAAAUAGAUACUUAAAUAAAUAAAAAGACCUUCUCUGGAAAGCAUUGUGUCCACACCUGGCAUUAAUUCAUUUGUGCUAUGAAGGCAAGUGUUUUCUAUGAUCUCCUUGGCACUGAAUCAAGGUGGAUUUUGUCAUUAUAAUUGAGUCCACAGGACAAAUGUAACAAAAGUUCUAGAAAAGUAUUUCUCAAAGCACGCUGCUCAUAAUAAGUGUACCUUGGGAAAUUAAGAUGUGUUAUGUAAGAAAAGGGUUCCAUAAUCAAGCAAUUUUGAGAAAUACUGCAUUAAACAAGGAUAACAAAGUUAAACAAGCCUCUUUACUACAGGAAUUUUCAGAACCUUUAAUAUACUAAUGCACAUUGUAAAUCAUAAAGAAGAUAAUAUCUGGCAUUUUUCCAAAUGCGUUUGACCAUGGAGUACUCUGUUGCUGAGCAUCUUACCAGAUGUGUUCCAUGAAAUAGACUUGAAACCUUGUUAAAGCAGAAGCAUUGCUUUAUCACUCAAUUUUCUUUCUCCUAAGGUAGAAAAAAACAGCAAAUCCAAGAGAAGC